This 882-nucleotide ribosomal RNA is filed under the name Cubamyces lactineus. RNAcentral's name for it is "eukaryotic LSU rRNA". It matches the Rfam family "Eukaryotic large subunit ribosomal RNA", at positions 74 to 941 of the family's 3401-position model. The record is from RNAcentral. Lineage: Eukaryota; Fungi; Basidiomycota; Agaricomycetes; Polyporales; Polyporaceae.
AUUCCCCUAGUAACUGCGAGUGAAGCGGGAAAAGCUCAAAUUUAAAAUCUGGCGGUCUUUGGCCGUCCGAGUUGUAGUCUGGAGAAGCGUCUUCCGCGCUGGACCGUGUAUAAGUCUCUUGGAACAGAGCGUCAUAGAGGGUGAGAAUCCCGUCUUUGACACGGACUACCAGUGCUUUGUGAUGCGCUCUCAAAGAGUCGAGUUGUUUGGGAAUGCAGCUCAAAAUGGGUGGUGAAUUCCAUCUAAAGCUAAAUAUUGGCGAGAGACCGAUAGCGAACAAGUACCGUGAGGGAAAGAUGAAAAGCACUUUGGAAAGAGAGUUAAACAGUACGUGAAAUUGCUGAAAGGGAAACGCUUGAAGUCAGUCGCGUUGUCCGGGACUCAGCCUUGCUUCGGCUUGGUGCACUUUCCGGAUGACGGGCCAGCAUCGAUUUUGACCGCCGGAAAAGGGCUGGAGGAAUGUGGCACCUUCGGGUGUGUUAUAGCCUCCAGUCGCAUACGGCGGUUGGGAUCGAGGAACGCAGCACGCCUUAUGGCGGGGGGUUUACCCUACCUUCGUGCUUAGGAUGCUGGCAUAAUGGCUUUAAACGACCCGUCUUGAAACACGGACCAAGGAGUCUAACAUGCCUGCGAGUGUUUGGGUGGAAAACCCGAGCGCGUAAUGAAAGUGAAAGUUGAGACCUCUGUCGUGGAGGGCAUCGACGCCCGGACCUGACGUUCUCUGACGGAUCCGCGGUAGAGCAUGUAUGUUGGGACCCGAAAGAUGGUGAACUAUGCCUGAAUAGGGUGAAGCCAGAGGAAACUCUGGUGGAGGCUCGUAGCGAUUCUGACGUGCAAAUCGAUCGUCAAAUUUGGGUAUAGGGGCGAAAGACUAAUCGAACC